This is a non-coding RNA of Acanthosepion pharaonis, 110 nucleotides long. The record is from the annotation of a GenBank genome assembly. Lineage: Eukaryota; Metazoa; Mollusca; Cephalopoda; Sepiida; Sepiidae.
AGUCAUAUCCCGUUGAAACACCGGUUCUCUACCAAUCACUAAAGUUAAGCAACAUCGAGUCUGGUAUGUACCUAGAUGGGUGACCUCUUGUGAAUACCAGGUGCUGUAAG